This 300-nucleotide long non-coding RNA is filed under the name Nicotiana benthamiana. Its description in RNAcentral is "long non-coding RNA (NBEN_LNC035440)". Lineage: Eukaryota; Viridiplantae; Streptophyta; Magnoliopsida; Solanales; Solanaceae. The record is from RNAcentral.
GGAAAGGAAGAUCUUGAUAGCCCAGAAGACGAAGAACUUGGAGAUAUAUUAACGCAUGGAAACCCAUCCGAAUUUAACACGCCAUAAGAAGGUCAAUCGGUUCAUAUUGAUUACGAUGAACUUGUUAGGGCAAUGCAAAGAAUUUGAUGAUUCGGAUUACUACUAGUAUACUACCUGUUACAAAAGAUGUAAAGUUUUUACUACUUAAUGUACAUUUUAGUUUUUCUUUAUUUGAAUUUAAGAAAUAAAGUAGCACUUGCAAUAAGUGCAAUUUUUUCCCAUCUUUUGUUGUGUUCAUUC